Molecule: transfer RNA, 72 nt
Filed under: Camelus bactrianus (Bactrian camel)
Lineage: Eukaryota; Metazoa; Chordata; Mammalia; Artiodactyla; Camelidae
Also listed under: 2 other names
Rfam family: tRNA
About the family: Transfer RNA (tRNA) molecules are approximately 80 nucleotides in length. Their secondary structure includes four short double-helical elements and three loops (D, anti-codon, and T loops).
Source: Rfam by way of RNAcentral
GAGGCUAUAGCUCAGUGGUAGAGUGCAUGCUUAGCAUGCACAAGGUUCUGGGUUCAAUUUCUGGUACCUCCA